GUGAUUAUACACAAAUAUUGUAAUUUUCAAAGCACGUAAUGCAAGGGAAUGUAUGUGAGUCAUACUAUUAAUAUCUUUUAAAAUAAGAUUCAAACAAUGUGCAGUAUAAGGAGACCAAAAAUGUGAUCAUAUCUCUCGUGUAAUAAUUUCCCUGUCGCCACAUGGUUAGCUGCAUUAUCAGUUACCAUAUAAACUACAUUACGAGGUCCAACCCAUUCAACUAUCUCAGAAAACAAAUUACACAAUGUUUGAGCAUCUUUCACUAAAUCUGAUGCAUCAUAAGAUUUUUAUAAAUACAAUCCCAGAAGAACAAUAUACUAAAAAUUUAAUCAAAGUUCUAUGUCUUUGAUCGAUUCAACCAUCGGCCAUAAUUGUGCAUCCAUUAUUUAUCCACUAACUUUGAUAAGUGUCAACAAGCAAUUGGCAUUCUUU
RNAcentral lists this long non-coding RNA (432 nucleotides) under Olea europaea subsp. europaea. The record is from RNAcentral. Lineage: Eukaryota; Viridiplantae; Streptophyta; Magnoliopsida; Lamiales; Oleaceae.